AAAAUCUGGCGCCCUGUGGAGAUCUUUAGACUGGUCAGCAAAUAUCAAAACGAGAUCUCAGACAGGAGAAUCUGUGCCUCUGCAUCAGCAGCCGACCUUGCCUACCAGCUCCUGGGUGUCCUGGAGUCUUUGAGAAGCAACGAUUUGAACUAUUUCUUCUACUUCACCCACAUUGAUGCAGGCAUGUUCGGCGUCUUUAACAACGGGCAUCUGUUCAUCCGGGAUGCCAGUGCAGUGGGCGUCAUCGACAAGCAGGAAGGCAGCCAAGAAGCCAACAGGGCAGGAGAGAAUAAAGACAUUUUUAGCUGCCUGGUUUCCAGCUGCCAGGCCCAGCUGCCCUCCUGCGAAAGCAUCUCUGAGAAGCAGAGCCUGGUGCUGGUGUGUCAGAAGUUGCUGCCUCGACUUCUCCAGGGGAGGUUCCCCUCCCCAGUGCAAGACCACAUAGACUCCAUCCUUGUUCAGUGUGGGGACAGCAUCCGCCCAGACCCAGAAGUCCUUGGGGCCGCCAGCCAGCUGAAAGACAUCUUGAGGCCCCUGAGAACGUGUGACUCCAGAUUUGCCUAUCGUUACCCAGAUUGCAAAUAUAACGAUAAGUUCUGAAGGGCUGGUGUCUAGCUGGCCUUGGGGACAACAUGCUUGGCUCUCCAUUCUCCCAGUCGGGUUGCUGCAAGGUAGAAAGAAGCAGCUCUUUUUUAAAGAUGAGAAGAAAGGCACACUCAUUUCUUAGGGACUGAGAGGGGAGUUGUGAGAUACCACGUGGCUGUCUCUGCUGGCUGGGACGUCCUGGCAAAGCCCGCGGUGGGCAUCAGAAGACCUGGGUGUGCACGCUCACUCAAUGUCUUUGAGCCUCAGUUUCCUCUAUUCUCCACCAGACUCUCCUGAGGGUGAAAGAAGACACAGAUGGAGCCACCAUUGAGCGUAUAUCCCAAGCAUGGGUCUUGGGGACACAUGCUCACCACCUCCAUCCCAGGUGGUUACAAAGUGUGUUCUGGAAAAGCACAGAGGCGGGGAGCAUGAGAAAGAGCCACUCAGGUCAGGAGGCUGGAGUGGAGGGAAGGCAGGGGAAGGACAGGCUCCCUGCCACUACCACUUUAGACUCGGACAAGAGGGGCCCCCUUCCUGCUCCCUAUGGCCCUGCGUCACUCCCCACACCAUCGCGGGAUGAGGAGACUGCAGGCCAAGGGGACAUGCCUACCACCACCUAGAGCCUGGUACCUGAGGCUCCAUACACCUGCGCAUGGGGCUUCUCAUGGUGUGGGAAGAAGCCAGGGGUAAGAAGAUAAAGGGGGGCCGGUGGGGGACCAAUGUGUUAGCCCAAGUCCUCCAAGAAUAUGUGUCAAGAUAGAGUGAAUGGAACAACGAUUUGUUAGGGGAAAUGCUUGUGUGUAAGGAAAGAAGGAGGGAGCCGGAGAAGAUUGGGAGGACCAGUAAGUCGAGCUGCAAGCUGAGCCCCGGUGAAGGAGAGAAUGUCUGGCAGGAGCUUGCUAAGCUCAAAAUUAAAGAAAGGUUCAGCAAGGCUGUCAGGGUGUCCUCAAGGCAAAGGCAGCCAUCAGAAGAGCCCCGUGUCUCCCACAAAUAGACCCCGUUAGCAUCCCUGCUGCACUCAGUGGUUGGCGGAAACAGCAAAGAUAGAUUUCAGAGCACAGCAGCAGGGGUCCCUGGUCAGCCCCGCUCCCUAGAGCAGGAGAUCUUGAGUGGGAGAACAUUCUUGUAGCCACAGCUGAGGCCCUGGACCAGCUCUCUCCACACCGCGUGCUCCGAGUUGGGACUCUAAGGAGUCUAGGAAUUUUCAUUCAAACUUGGCCUUACAGGUCACUCAUCAGAAAAAUACUUUUUUCAAGGUCAACCAAUAGAACAUACUUUAUUCAACAGUUUGUUAGUUUGCUUUUUAAAUAUUUAGCCACAUGGUAUGUAGGCUUCCAUGUACACUCUUGCCCUGGCCCCUGAAACAUAAGCAGGGGGCUCUUCUGUACAUUUGCCCAGCUUCCCUGCCAGCCUUUAACCCCAGGAACCUCUCAGUCUACCUCCUCUUUUCUACCUCUGAAUCCCUACCUUUAAAGUCAGAACAGGCCAGGCCCGGUGGCUCACGCCUGUAAUCCCAGCACUUUGGGAGGCUAAGGUGGGUGGAUCACUUGACAUCAGUAGUUCAAGACCAGCCUGGCCAACAUGGUGAAACCCCAUCCUUACUAAAAAUACAAAAAUUAGCCAGGUGUGGUGGCGGGCACCUGUAAUCCCAGCUACUCGGGAGGCUGAGGCAGGAGAAUCACUUGAACCCAGGAGGCAGAGUUUGCAGUCAGCCAAGAUCACGCCACUGUACUCCAGCCUGGAUGACACAGCAAGACUCCAUCUC
Molecule: small RNA, 2350 nt
Filed under: Pan troglodytes (chimpanzee)
Lineage: Eukaryota; Metazoa; Chordata; Mammalia; Primates; Hominidae
Description: processed transcript
Source: RNAcentral